UGCAAGUCGAGCGGACAGAUGGGAGCUUGCUCCCUGAAGUCAGCGGCGGACGGGUGAGUAACACGUGGGCAACCUGCCUGUAAGACUGGGAUAACUUCGGGAAACCGGAGCUAAUACCGGAUAACACCGAGGACCACAUGGUCCUUGGUUGAAAGAUGGUUUCGGCUAUCACUUACAGAUGGGCCCGCGGCGCAUUAGCUAGUUGGUGAGGUAACGGCUCACCAAGGCGACGAUGCGUAGCCGACCUGAGAGGGUGAUCGGCCACACUGGGACUGAGACACGGCCCAGACUCCUACGGGAGGCAGCAGUAGGGAAUCUUCCGCAAUGGACGAAAGUCUGACGGAGCAACGCCGCGUGAGCGAUGAAGGCCUUCGGGUCGUAAAGCUCUGUUGUUAGGGAAGAACAAGUACCAGAGUAACUGCUGGUACCUUGACGGUACCUAACCAGAAAGCCACGGCUAACUACGUGCCAGCAGCCGCGGUAAUACGUAGGUGGCAAGCGUUGUCCGGAAUUAUUGGGCGUAAAGCGCGCGCAGGCGGUUCCUUAAGUCUGAUGUGAAAGCCCACGGCUCAACCGUGGAGGGUCAUUGGAAACUGGGGAACUUGAGUGCAGAAGAGGAAAGCGGAAUUCCACGUGUAGCGGUGAAAUGCGUAGAGAUGUGGAGGAACACCAGUGGCGAAGGCGGCUUUCUGGUCUGUAACUGACGCUGAGGCGCGAAAGCGUGGGGAGCAAACAGGAUUAGAUACCCUGGUAGUCCACGCCGUAAACGAUGAGUGCUAAGUGUUAGGGGGUUUCCGCCCCUUAGUGCUGCAGCUAACGCAUUAAGCACUCCGCCUGGGGARUACGGCCGCAAGGCUGAAACUCMAAGGAAUUGACGGGGGCCCGCMCAAGCGG
RNAcentral lists this ribosomal RNA (894 nucleotides) under bacterium GD77LO100%. RNAcentral describes it as "bacterial SSU rRNA". It matches the Rfam family "Bacterial small subunit ribosomal RNA", at positions 56 to 932 of the family's 1533-position model. The record is from RNAcentral.